AUUGAACGCUGGCGGCAGGCCUAACACAUGCAAGUCGAACGGUAACAGGAAGAAGCUUGCUUCUUUGCUGACGAGUGGCGGACGGGUGAGUAAUGUCUGGGAAACUGCCUGAUGGAGGGGGAUAACUACUGGAAACGGUAGCUAAUACCGCAUAACGUCGCAAGACCAAAGAGGGGGACCUUCGGGCCUCUUGCCAUCGGAUGUGCCCAGAUGGGAUUAGCUAGUAGGUGGGGUAACGGCUCACCUAGGCGACGAUCCCUAGCUGGUCUGAGAGGAUGACCAGCCCAACUGGAACUGAGACACGGUCCAGACUCCUACGGGAGGCAGCAGUGGGGAAUAUUGCACAAUGGGCGCAAGCCUGAUGCAGCCAUGCCGCGUGUAUGAAGGAGGCCUUCGGGUUGUAAAGUACUUUCAGCGGGGAGGAAGGGAGUAAAGUUAAUACCUUUGCUCAUUGACGUUACCCGCAGAAGAAGCACCGGCUAACUCCGUG
Molecule: ribosomal RNA, 490 nt
Filed under: uncultured bacterium
Lineage: Bacteria
Description: partial 16S ribosomal RNA
Rfam family: Bacterial small subunit ribosomal RNA
Source: RNAcentral